AAUUUGAAGGUAGUGAGUUAUCUUGAUUGUUCAGUCAGUUGCAGAUCAAACUCCUUGGUCUACUCUUCCUCCCCUACUCACUACUGUAUUUGACUAGUCUUAA
RNAcentral lists this Y RNA (103 nucleotides) under Propithecus coquereli (Coquerel's sifaka). Its description in RNAcentral is "Y RNA (ENSPCOG00000005027.1)". It matches the Rfam family "Y RNA". From Rfam's summary of the family: Y RNAs are components of the Ro ribonucleoprotein particle (Ro RNP), in association with Ro60 and La proteins. The Y RNAs and Ro60 and La proteins are well conserved, but the function of the Ro RNP is not known. In humans the RNA component can be one of four small RNAs -- hY1, hY3, hY4 and hY5. The record is from Rfam by way of RNAcentral. Lineage: Eukaryota; Metazoa; Chordata; Mammalia; Primates; Indriidae.